This 264-nucleotide ribosomal RNA is filed under the name uncultured archaeon. Its description in RNAcentral is "partial 16S ribosomal RNA". It matches the Rfam family "Archaeal small subunit ribosomal RNA", at positions 718 to 982 of the family's 1478-position model. The record is from RNAcentral.
AGUCACUGACAUUAGAUACCCCUGUAGUCCAGGGUGUAAACGCUGCAGACUUGGUGUUGGAAGCCCUUUGGGGGCAUUCAGUGCCGGAGAGAAGUUGUUAAGUCUGCUACUUGGGGAGUACGUCCGUAAGGAUGAAACUUAAAGGAAUUGGCGGGGGAGCACCGCAACGGGAGGAGCGUGCGGUUUAAUUGGAUUCAACACCGUAAACUCACCAGGGAAGACUGUUACAUGAAGGCCGAGAUGAAGACUCUGCUAGAUUUUCAG